Molecule: ribosomal RNA, 114 nt
Filed under: Zingiber officinale
Lineage: Eukaryota; Viridiplantae; Streptophyta; Magnoliopsida; Zingiberales; Zingiberaceae
Source: RNAcentral
GCGAUCAUACCAGCACUAAUGCACCGGAUCCCAUCAGAACUUCGAUGUUAAGCGUGCUUGGGCGAGAGCAGUACUAGGAUGGGUGACCCCAUAGGAAGUCCUCGAGUUGCACCU